Molecule: long non-coding RNA, 1200 nt
Filed under: Salmo trutta (river trout)
Lineage: Eukaryota; Metazoa; Chordata; Actinopteri; Salmoniformes; Salmonidae
Description: lncRNA (ENSSTUG00000001400.1)
Source: RNAcentral
UGCCAACCCCUGCGCUCAAGACCGCCAGUGCGCCUCUACGGUCCAGGGUUUCCCGCUAAACGCACUAGCAUUGAGGUGCGUGUCUCCAGGCUGGCACGUCCAGUACCAGCCCCACGCAUCAGGAGUCUAGUGCGUCAGCCCAGCCUCGCCAGUCAACAGUCACCAGAGCUGCCCGCCAGUCAAGAGUCACCAGAGCUGCCCGCCAGUCGUAAGUCGCCAGAGCUGGCCGCCAGUCGUAAGUCGCCAGAGCUGCCCGCCAGUCGUAAGUUGCCAGAGCUGCCCGCCAGUCAGGAGUUGCCAGAGCUGCCCGCCAGUCGUAAAUCGCCAGAGCUGCUCGCCAGUCGUAAGUCGCCAGAGCUGCCCGCCAGUCAGGAGUCACCAGAGCUGCCCGCCAGUCAGGAGUCACCAGAGCCGCCCGCUAGUCAGGAGCCGCCAGAGCCGCCCGCUAGUCAGGAGCCGCCAGAGUGGCCCGUCUGCCCGGAGACGCCAGAGUGGCCCGACUGCCCGGAUCUGCCCGAGUGGCCCGACUGCCCGGAACUGCCAGAGUGGCCCGACUGCCCGGAACUGCCAGAGUGGCCCGACUGCCCGGAACUGCCAGAGUGGCCCGACUGCCCGGAACUGCCAGAGUGGCCCGACUGCCCGGAACUGCCAGAGUGGCCCGACUGCCUGGAACUGCCAGAGAGGCCCGACUGCCCGGUCCAGCCCGAGUGGCCCUCCUGCCCUCCGGCCCAGCCCGAGUGGCCCUCCUGUCCUCCGGCCCAGCCCGAGUGGCCCUCCUGUCCUCUGGCCCAGCCCGAGUGGCCCUCCUGUCCUCCGGCCCAGCCCGAGUGGCCCUCCUGUCCUCCGGCCCAGCCCGAGUGGCCCUCCUGUCCUCCUGCCCAGCCCGAGUGGCCCUCCUGCCCUCCGGUCCAGCCCGAGUGGCCCUCCUGCCCUCCGGCCCAGCCCGAGUGGCCCUCCUGCCCUCCGGCCCAGCCCGAGUGGCCCUCCUGCCCAGCCCGAGUGGCCCUCCUGUCCUCCGGCCCAGCCCGAGUGGCCCUCCUGUCCUCCGGCCCAGCCCGAGUGGCCCUCCUGUCCUCCGGCCCAGCCCGAGUGGUCCGUCUGCCAGGGUCAGCCCAAGUGGCCCGUCUGCCCGGCGCAGCUAGCAGCGCCACCGAAGUGGGUGACGCCGAAGGUGGAGCAAGGUCCACGUCCUGCACCUGA